RNAcentral lists this ribosomal RNA (446 nucleotides) under uncultured bacterium. RNAcentral describes it as "partial 16S ribosomal RNA". It matches the Rfam family "Bacterial small subunit ribosomal RNA", at positions 338 to 795 of the family's 1533-position model. The record is from RNAcentral.
CCUACGGGUGGCAGCAGUCGAGAAUCAUUCACAAUGGGGGAAACCCUGAUGGUGCAACGCCGCGUGGGGGAAUGAAGUUCUUCGGAUUUUAAACCCCUUUCAUGUAGAAGCAAAUUCAAAAGAUAGUACCACAACAGGUAGAGGCGGCUAACGCUGUUCCAGCAGCCGCGGUAAUACAGAGUUCUCAAGCGUUUUUCGGAAUCACUGGGCGUAAAGCGUUCGUAGGCGGUUUCGUAAGUCGUGUGUGAAAGGCGUGGGCUUAACCGGCGGACGGCACAUGAUACUGGGAGACUAGAGGAAAGGAGGGGGAAGUGGAAUUCUCGGUGUAGCAGUGAAAUGCGUAGAUAUCGAGAGGAACACUAGUGGCGAAGGCGGGUUCCUGGACAGUAACUGACGCUGAGGCACGAAGGCCAGGGGAGCGAAAGGGAUUAGAUACCCGAGUAGUC